GACCGAUUGGCUCUCAUCUCUCUACCGCAAUCUUCAGAUGGAAGAUAUGCUAUGGCAAUGAUCACUAUAUGGUGUGUAUGGUGAGAAUGAAACAAACUGGCCGGUGAUAGAUCUCCAGCCUCGUGAACCAGCCGGGGUGGUUUUGACUGAAUUGCUGCAAUUUUGUAAUGACUGUACUCCCUCUUAAGUUGUUUCAAUUGAGGUACAGGAGCAACCAACUGUAGUGGGAGGCACUGUUGUUUCUCCAUUUCUAAGCUUAACGUAGAUGCUGCAUUUCAGUUCUUCGCCUGGCACUAUGGGCUAUGGUGUGGUUGUUCGAACUUCUACCCGAAUGGUCUCCUUCUCUACUAUGUAACGCAGAUACGGCACACUUGAAGUUGAAAUGAUACACUUGCGCGAAUUAUUUCUUUUUAUUUUUUUUAACAACAUAAUU
RNAcentral lists this unclassified non-coding RNA (433 nucleotides) under Hevea brasiliensis (rubber tree). The record is from RNAcentral. Lineage: Eukaryota; Viridiplantae; Streptophyta; Magnoliopsida; Malpighiales; Euphorbiaceae.